CGAAAGCGUUUUUAACAGCGCAAAACCCACUGUGAACAUACCUGUUUGUUGCUUCGGCAGGCGGCCCCAGGGCGGGGCCAGCAGCCUGUAUGUUUUUUCAGGCGCCUGCCGGAGGCCACUUCAAACUCUUUUGUAUACGUACUGUCUGAGCCUAAAACAAAAUACGUUA
This 169-nucleotide unclassified non-coding RNA is filed under the name soil metagenome. Its description in RNAcentral is "partial internal transcribed spacer 1". The record is from RNAcentral.